This 440-nucleotide ribosomal RNA is filed under the name uncultured bacterium. RNAcentral's name for it is "partial 16S ribosomal RNA". It matches the Rfam family "Bacterial small subunit ribosomal RNA", at positions 338 to 795 of the family's 1533-position model. The record is from RNAcentral.
CCUACGGGGGGCAGCAGUGGGGGAUAUUGCACAAUGGGGGAAACCCUGAUGCAGCGACGCCGCGUGGGUGAAGAAGCGCCUCGGCGCGUAAAGCCCUGUCAGCAGGGAAGAAAAUGACGGUACCUGAAGAAUAAGCCCCGGCUAACUACGUGCCAGCAGCCGCGGUAAUACUUAGGGGGCAAGCGUUAUCCGGAUGUACUGGGUGUAAAGGGGGCGCAGGCGGCGAUGCAAGCCAGGAGUGAAAGCCCGGGGCCCAACCGCGGGACUGCUCUUGGAACUGCGUGGCUAGAGUGCAGGAGGGGCAGGCGGAAUUCCUGGUGUAGCGGUGAAAUGCGUAGAUAUCAGGAGGAACACCGGUGGCGAAGGCGGCAUGCUGGACUACAACUGACGUUGAGGCCCGAAAGCGUGGGUAGCAAACAGGAUUAGAUACCCGGGUAGUC